RNAcentral lists this transfer RNA (72 nucleotides) under Camelus bactrianus (Bactrian camel). It matches the Rfam family "tRNA". From Rfam's summary of the family: Transfer RNA (tRNA) molecules are approximately 80 nucleotides in length. Their secondary structure includes four short double-helical elements and three loops (D, anti-codon, and T loops). Further hydrogen bonds mediate the characteristic L-shaped molecular structure. tRNAs have two regions of fundamental functional importance: the anti-codon, which is responsible for specific mRNA codon recognition, and the 3' end, to which the tRNAs corresponding amino acid is attached (by aminoacyl-tRNA synthetases). tRNAs cope with the degeneracy of the genetic code in two manners: having more than one tRNA (with a specific anti-codon) for a particular amino acid; and 'wobble' base-pairing, i.e. permitting non-standard base-pairing at the 3rd anti-codon position. Lineage: Eukaryota; Metazoa; Chordata; Mammalia; Artiodactyla; Camelidae. RNAcentral also lists the same sequence under 2 other names. The record is from Rfam by way of RNAcentral.
GUGGGCAUAGCUGAGUGGUAGAGCACAUGCUUAGCAUGCAUGAGGUCCUAGGUUCAAUCUCCAGUACCUCUA